RNAcentral lists this ribosomal RNA (707 nucleotides) under uncultured bacterium. RNAcentral describes it as "bacterial SSU rRNA". It matches the Rfam family "Bacterial small subunit ribosomal RNA", at positions 65 to 761 of the family's 1533-position model. The record is from RNAcentral.
AUCGGGGAGCGAAGCUUGCUUUGCUCCGCCGGCGACCGGCGCACGGGUGAGUAACGCGUAUGCAACCUGCCCGUUUCAGCGGGAUAACCCGGAGAAAUCCGGCCUAAUACCGCAUGUGGCCGAGGGGAGGCAUCUUCUUUCGGCCAAAGGAGGCGACUCCGGAGACGGAUGGGCAUGCGUGACAUUAGCUUGUUGGCGGGGUAACGGCCCACCAAGGCGACGAUGUCUAGGGGUUCUGAGAGGAAGGUCCCCCACACUGGUACUGAGACACGGACCAGACUCCUACGGGAGGCAGCAGUGAGGAAUAUUGGUCAAUGGGCGAGAGCCUGAACCAGCCAAGUCGCGUGAAGGAUGACGGCCCUACGGGUUGUAAACUUCUUUUGUCAGGGAGCAAUUGGGUCCACGUGUGGGCUUAGCGAGAGUACCUGAAGAAAAAGCAUCGGCUAACUCCGUGCCAGCAGCCGCGGUAAUACGGAGGAUGCGAGCGUUAUCCGGAUUUAUUGGGUUUAAAGGGUGCGUAGGCGGAAUAUCAAGUCAGCGGUAAAAAUUCGGGGCUCAACCCCGUCGUGCCGUUGAAACUGAUGUUCUUGAGUGGGCGAGAAGUAUGCGGAAUGCGUGGUGUAGCGGUGAAAUGCAUAGAUAUCACGCAGAACUCCGAUUGCGAAGGCAGCAUACCGGCGCCCAACUGACGCUGAAGCACGAAAGCG